RNAcentral lists this transfer RNA (76 nucleotides) under Sphaeropteris cooperi. RNAcentral describes it as "partial tRNA-Leu". It matches the Rfam family "tRNA", at positions 11 to 71 of the family's 71-position model. From Rfam's summary of the family: Transfer RNA (tRNA) molecules are approximately 80 nucleotides in length. Their secondary structure includes four short double-helical elements and three loops (D, anti-codon, and T loops). The record is from RNAcentral. Lineage: Eukaryota; Viridiplantae; Streptophyta; Polypodiopsida; Cyatheales; Cyatheaceae.
CGAAAUCGGUAGACGCUACGGACUAAAAUCCGUUGGUCUUUAUAGGACCGUGAGGGUUCAAGUCCCUCUAUCCCCA